RNAcentral lists this long non-coding RNA (4761 nucleotides) under Macaca nemestrina (pig-tailed macaque). RNAcentral's name for it is "lncRNA (ENSMNEG00000046147.1)". The record is from RNAcentral. Lineage: Eukaryota; Metazoa; Chordata; Mammalia; Primates; Cercopithecidae.
ACAUCUUCUGUAACCAGAAGCACUCCAAGAACAACACUUUCAUUCAUGGACUUAACAACUACAUUAGAUCAUACCAGCCUGCCACUUCAAAGUCGCCAGUGUCAAGGAACAUUUCAAAUGGGCUUAAAACAUUGUUUUGGAGGUGUGACUAACGAAGCCAAGGACAUUAGCAAACAUCAUGAGAGCAGGUAUCAGGUGAAUAGAGAAGAUAUAGAAGAGGUCCUUGGUUUCCAAAUUGCCACUGGAUUGCCUCUAUCAAAUAUCCAAGAGUUUCAUGAUCACAGGGGACUCAAGAUUCUUGGACAGAAUUCUCGCCGGGAGCCAACUCAGCCUGAUCUGCUGGCAUCUCUCAAGUAUCCGAAGUCAACAAAAUGGUUUCCCUUGAAGACUUGGCCAGAGCGGCAGCCAAAGUUCAUCAGGCUUUCAUAGAGAGAUUGUUGUUCUAAGAAAACAAAAUUCUAAGGGUUCCCAUUGUGCAACUGGGGUGGCAAAAUGCAAACUAGUAUAAGGGAAAAAAAUGCUUUUCAUUUCCAUGGAAGAAGUGACCCAUCCUAUUGUUUUGAUAUUUCCUUUUCUGUGCUAACUUAUUCCAUUAAUUAGGCUCUCAUUUUAUGAGAUAAAUUUCACUGCAUGCGUAUCUUCUUUUGGUUAUUACACAAGGACUGUUUUCUAUGGUUCAUAUCUAAGUCUAGCCCUGGAAGAAUUUUUUUUUUUUUUUUUUUUUUUUUUUUGGAGACAGACUUUUUUGUUUUGUUUUGAGACAACACUUCCUCUGUUGCCCAGGCUGGAAUGCAGUGACGAGAUCAUAGCUCACUGCAACUUCUGCCUCCUAGACUCAAACAGUCCUCCCACCUCAGCCUCCCAAGUUGCUGGGAUUACAGGCAAGUGCCAUCACACCCGGCUAAUUUUUGGAUUUUUAGUAGAAAUGAAGUUUUGCCAUGUUGGCCAGGCUGAUCUCAAACUCCUGCCCUCAAGUGAUCUGCCCUCGUCAGCCUCCCAAAGUGCUGGGAUUACAGGUGUGAGCCACCGUGCCCAGCUUGGCCUUGGAAAAAUCUUGAUGUAGAAUUUAUCUGCAGGUAUCUCCAUCUCUAUUUUCCAUUCUUAGUAAAUGUUUUAGUUUGACAGUAAACGUGUUGAGACAUUUAUGAUCGAGAGAGCGCCUAAGCAGCCCAAAGUGCUGGGAGUCUCUCCUAAGGAAUUAGAUGCACGCAGCUUUUUUCCCUCACAGACACUUUACUGAGCAGUCAUGUUGGGCUUGGGUGGCAUCUGCUAUUAAGACACACUAUUCAGCAAUAAAACCCUGAAAAUUGCAUUGCACAGGACUGAUAAAAAUGAAAUGACUUAAGAAACAUAUUUAUGGUAUAUAUACACAGAAAAAGAAUGAAAGUUUGAGGGGGGUAUUGCCUUUGAGAAGAAGAGUUAUGAGUAGUUUUUAUUUCCUUUUUUAUUAAUCUGUAUUUCAUUUUUUAGGCAAGCAAAUAUAUUAUUUAGACAACAAAAUAUGUAUUAUAAAGAAAAGACUUUUUUUUGUUUCUUCUUUGCUUUUCUAAGAGGAAACUUUGACUACAAUUGCUUGUGAGUGAUACCUGUGUUCUGGUAGCUUAAGAAGACACAAUGUGGUUAGGGAAGGAUAAGAACAGAUGGCUUUAAUAAAUGUACUCAAGGCUAAUGUACUCUUCGUAGACUCAGGCUUCAGAUUAGAUCUCUUAUCUAUAUUGGCACCAGGAUGUGGUUUUGAGUUCUCUGCUUUUUCUACAGCUUUAGGGAAAUCUGCAUGCAGACACAUCCAAUUGUCCAAACCAAAAUCACAUCCAGGAUGUGAGGCAGCCUGGGAAAGGUCAUUUUGAGUUCUGUAGUCUCCGAAGUAUGAAAACACAUAUACACGUAUACAUACACACAUUCACACCCACACACUUUUGAAGGAAGAUGGAAUGGAAGAUAAGCACCACAGUGAAACUUUAGAAGAAUUUCCAUUACACUAAGGAAAAAAAGAUAGAGGGUCCAUUUUCAUCACUUUUAUCACUGUUGCCUAGAAGAUAAGCUGAAUAACAUAAAAUAAAAAGUGUAUAGAACACUUGGAAAAAAUAUAAAAGAUUGGUCCCAUUCUCAGAUGACAUGAUACUCAAUGAGGAACCAACCAUAAACAGGUUGUUAUGAACUGAAUAUUAGUGUGACCCCAAAAUUCACAUGCUGAAAUCUUAACCCCAACGUGAUGGUGUUAGAUGGUGAGGCUUUUUAGGAGCUGACACAGUAUAAUGCCUCUUCUAUGAAGAAGCGGGCCUUUGUCAGUUACCAAAUCUGCAGAUGCCUUGAUCUUGAACUUCCCAGCCUCCAGAACUUGGAGGAAUAAAUGUUUGUUGUUUGUAAACCACCCAGUUUAUGGUAUUUUAUUAUAGCUGCUCAAAGGGUCUAAGACUCAAGUAUAAGUCAUAAGUAAAUGCAUCAAAUUUGCUGAAUAUAAAUCACAUAUAAAAAUUCAACAGCAUGCUUGGAUCCCCGGGAUGAAUCACAUCUGGUCAUGGCAAAUAAUCUAAAAAAUAAUAAUAAAAUCAAUUUUAAAAAUUAAAAAAGCAACAAUAUUUACUAUUCACUGCCAAUGACCAAUUACAAAAUGGCAUAAACAUGACAUCUGUGGUAAUGACAAAUACCCUAAGGUAACUAGAACUACAAGUAAUAAAAGAUGUGUACAAUUUACAGAGAAGGUUGUAGAAAGAAAAAAAUUAAAAGUGAAAACCUAAAUGGGAAGAAACAUCAUAUAUAUUGGGUCAAAGUAGAUAUCAUAAUAUAAAUUAUAAAAUACAGAACUAAAUAAUAUUAUUUAGUAUUUUAUAUACUAAACUUCAAAAUGUGUUGGAUACACCUGAAGUAGCACUAAAGAGGAAUUUACAGCUUUAAAUACAUGUAUUGGAGGAGGAAAGAGAUAAAGUUUAAUGUGGCAGUAAGCACCCACUUAAGAAAAAGUACAAAAAGAAAAUAGUAGUAGUAGAAAGUAAUAAAAUAUAAAACAGGUUUUUAAAAAGAUGCUUACAAAAUGGACAGUUUUUAUGGGGAUUGAACAAGAACAAAGAAAGAAGGCACUAAUAACUCAUGUCAAGAAUGUGGAAGUGGAUAUGUGGAUAUAACUAAAAUGCUGCAGUUAUUCAAGAUAAGAAUAUUAUUAGUAACUAUAAAAUAAUACAUUUAAAAACUUGGUCAAAACGGUCAAAUUUCUAGAAAAAUGUACCUCAACAAAACUGAUUCAAGAAAAAUAACCCAUUAAAAAUAAAUCAGCGGUUACCUUCCCCCCCUUUUUUUUUGACAAGAAAAUACCAAAUGGUUUUACCAGCAAGAUCUGCCAAAUAUUCAAGAAACGAGUAAUUUAAAUCUUAAACAGAAUUUUCCAGAGAAUAGAAAAUGGGAAGAGGGUUGUUCCUCAUCUUAUUUUAUGAAGCUAGUAUACACAUCGGUGCCAACAUUUGACAAGGGAAGUCUGAAAAAGGAAAAUCACAGACUAACCUCUGCCAUGAGCAGAGACUUAAAAAAUUAUAAACAAAAUAUUUGCCAACCAAAUCCAAAUAUAAAAAGGAUUGGACACCAUGAUCAAGUUGAGCUCAUCCUAGGAAUGUAUCCUUUAUGGUAACAUUUGGGAAAGCAAAAUACAUGGGUGCACAUGCAAGAGGUAAGAGAUUGAGACCAGGAGUCUGUAGGACUUCUGAUUUCAUCCAUUUUUUCCAAGUGAAUUAGAUUUUCUUUAAAAAAGGUUACUGGGUGAAGACGCAGAUAGAGGACCAGGUCUUGGAGAUUUAAGGAGAAAGGAAGUAUGAUAUAGUCUUCCAGAAGACUGGAAGAGUAAAUGGAAUAUAGUGUGAUUGCAUUGGGUGUCAUCUGAGCUUUAUGGGCAUGAAUUUAAAGAUUAUUUAUUAGAUGACCUGGUUUGUGCAGUAAGAAAACAUUUGUUUAGGGAUUAGGAAGGAACAAAUAAAACUAAAACUCUCCCAUUACUCACAGAAGACAUGAUGAUUCUUAUAGAAAACCCAAAAGAUAUUAUGUCAAUAUAGAAAAGUCAAUUACUUUUUUUUUUUUUUUUUUUUUUUGCUUUAAAUUCUGGGACACAUGUGCAGAAUGUGCUGGUUUGUUACAUAGAUAUACAUGUGCCAUGGUGCUUUCCUGUACCUAUCAACCCAUCAUCUAGGUUUUAAGCCCAGAAUGCAUUAGGUAUUUGUCCUAAAACUCUCCCCCUCCCCUUCCCCCACUCCCCCCAACAGGCCCUGGUGUGUGAUGUUACCCUUCCUGUGUCCCCGUGUUCUCAAUGUUCAACUCCCACUUAUGAGUGAGAAUAUGUGGUGUUUAGUUUUCUGUUCCUGUGUUAGUUUGCUGAGGAUGAUGGUUUCCAGCUUCAGCCAUGUCCCUGCAAAUGACAUUAACUUUCUUUUUUCUGGCUGCAUAGUAUUCCAUGGUGUAUAUGUGCCACAUUUUCUUUAUCCAGUAUACCAUUGAUGGGCAUUUGGGUUGGUUCCAAGUCUUUGCUAUUGUAAAUAGUGCUGCAAUAAACAUACAUGUCCAUGUGUCUUUAUAAAGUGAUUUAUAAUCCUUUGGGUAUAUAACCAGUAAUAAGAUUGCUGGGUCAAAUGGUAUUUCUGGUUCUAGAUCCUUGAGGAAUCACCACACUUUCUUCCACAGUGGUUGAACAAAUUUACACUCCCACCAACAAUAUAAAAGCAUUCCUGUUUCUCCACAUCCUCACCAGCAUUCUGUUGUUUCCAGACUUUUUAAUGGUCAUCA